Molecule: ribosomal RNA, 497 nt
Filed under: uncultured bacterium
Lineage: Bacteria
Description: partial 16S ribosomal RNA
Rfam family: Bacterial small subunit ribosomal RNA
Source: RNAcentral
GACGAACGCUGGCGGCGUGCCUAAUACAUGCAAGUAGAACGCUGAAGAGAGGAGCUUGCUCUUCUUGGAUGAGUUGCGAACGGGUGAGUAACGCGUAGGUAACCUGCCUUGUAGCGGGGGAUAACUAUUGGAAACGAUAGCUAAUACCGCAUAACAAUGGAUGACACAUGUCAUUUAUUUGAAAGGGGCAAUUGCUCCACUACAAGAUGGACCUGCGUUGUAUUAGCUAGUAGGUGAGGUAAUGGCUCACCUAGGCGACGAUACAUAGCCGACCUGAGAGGGUGAUCGGCCACACUGGGACUGAGACACGGCCCAGACUCCUACGGGAGGCAGCAGUAGGGAAUCUUCGGCAAUGGGGGCAACCCUGACCGAGCAACGCCGCGGGAGUGAAGAAGGUUUUCGGAUCGUAAAGCUCUGUUGUAAGUCAAGAACGGGUGUGAGAGUGGAAAGUUCACACUGUGGCGGUAGCUUACCAGAAAGGGACGGCUAACUACGUG